AGAGUUUGAUCCUGGCUCAGGAUGAACGCUGGCGGCGUGCUUAACACAUGCAAGUCGAACGAAGCACUGGAGCGGAAUCCCUUCGGGGAGGAAGCGCCUUUGACUGAGUGGCGGACGGGUGAGUAACGCGUGGGUAACCUGCCCCAUACAGGGGGAUAACAGCCGGAAACGGCUGCUAAUACCGCAUGUACAUGCGGGGGCGCAUGCCCUUGGAUGGAAAGCAUUAGCGGUAUGGGAUGGGCCCGCGUCUGAUUAGGCAGUUGGCGGGGUAACAGCCCACCAAACCGACGAUCAGUAGCCGGCCUGAGAGGGCGACCGGCCACAUUGGGACUGAGACACGGCCCAAACUCCUACGGGAGGCAGCAGUGGGGAAUAUUGCACAAUGGGGGAAACCCUGAUGCAGCGACGCCGCGUGGGUGAAGAAGUAUUUCGGUAUGUAAAGCCCUAUCAGCAGGGAAGAAAAAUGACGGUACCUGACUAAGAAGCACCGGCUAAAUACGUG
RNAcentral lists this ribosomal RNA (502 nucleotides) under uncultured Lachnospiraceae bacterium. RNAcentral describes it as "bacterial SSU rRNA". It matches the Rfam family "Bacterial small subunit ribosomal RNA", at positions 8 to 507 of the family's 1533-position model. Lineage: Bacteria; Bacillati; Bacillota; Clostridia; Lachnospirales; Lachnospiraceae. The record is from RNAcentral.